This 521-nucleotide ribosomal RNA is filed under the name uncultured Pseudomonadota bacterium. Its description in RNAcentral is "bacterial SSU rRNA". It matches the Rfam family "Bacterial small subunit ribosomal RNA", at positions 355 to 865 of the family's 1533-position model. Lineage: Bacteria; Pseudomonadati; Pseudomonadota. The record is from RNAcentral.
UGGGGGAUAUUGCGCAAUGGGCGAAAGCCUGACGCAGCGACGCCGCGUGGGUGAUGAAGGCCUUCGGGUCGUAAAGCCCUGUCGAGGGGAACGAAACGGUCUCGACCUAACACGUCGAGUCCCUGACGGUACCCCUAAAGGAAGCACCGGCUAACUCCGUGCCAGCAGCCGCGGUAAUACGGAGGGUGCGAGCGUUGUUCGGAAUCACUGGGCGUAAAGGGCGUGUAGGCGGUCCGCUAAGUCUGAUGUGAAAGCCCGGGGCUCACCCCCGGAAGGGCAUUGGAAACUGGCGGACUCGAGUCCCGGAGAGGAAGGUGGGAAUUCCUGGUGUAGCGGUGAAAUGCGUAGAUAUCAGGAGGAAUACCGGUGGCGAAGGCGGCCUUCUGGACGGUGACUGACGCUGAGACGCGAAAGCGUGGGGAGCAAACAGGAUUAGAUACCCUGGUAGUCCACGCUGUAAACGAUGAGCACUAGGUGUCGUGGGUAUUGACCCCCGCGGUGCCGACGCUAACGCAUUAAGU